CAAUCCUCCUCGCCCACACUUCGACCUUGCCAUGCCCAUGUUCCUCAAAAUCGCCGAGUACCGUGCCGGCAUUGUCCCCGUAGCCUACCGCCGGGUGCCAUGCCGGAAGGGAGGCGGAAUCCGGUUCACCAUCAACGGUUUCCGUUACUUCAAUUUGGUAUUGAUCUCCAACGUUGCGGGUGCAGGGGAUAUCGUAAAGGUUAGCGUGAAGGGUUCGAGGACUGGGUGGAUGAGCAUGAGUCGUAACUGGGGUCAAAACUGGCAGUCAAAUGCUGUU
RNAcentral lists this unclassified non-coding RNA (277 nucleotides) under Hevea brasiliensis (rubber tree). Lineage: Eukaryota; Viridiplantae; Streptophyta; Magnoliopsida; Malpighiales; Euphorbiaceae. The record is from RNAcentral.